UACGGAGGGUGCAAGCGUUAUCCGGAUUCACUGGGUUUAAAGGGUGCGUAGGUGGGCUGGUAAGUCAGUGGUGAAAUCUCCAGGCUUAACUUGGAAACUGCCAUUGAUACUAUCAAUCUUGAAUACCGUGGAGGUCAGCGGAAUAUGUCAUGUAGCGGUGAAAUGCUUAGAUAUGACAUAGAACACCAAUUGCGAAGGCAGCUGGCUACACGAAUAUUGACACUGAUGCACGAAAGCGUGGGGAUCAAACAGG
RNAcentral lists this ribosomal RNA (253 nucleotides) under uncultured bacterium. RNAcentral's name for it is "partial 16S ribosomal RNA". It matches the Rfam family "Bacterial small subunit ribosomal RNA", at positions 524 to 776 of the family's 1533-position model. The record is from RNAcentral.